GACGAACGCUGGCGGCGUGCUUAACACAUGCAAGUCGAACGGAAAGGCCCUUUCGGGGGUACUCGAGUGGCGAACGGGUGAGUAACACGUGGGUGAUCUGCCCUGCACUUUGGGAUAAGCCUGGGAAACUGGGUCUAAUACCGAAUACACCUUGCUGGCUGCAUGGCUGGUGGGGGAAAGCUUUUGCGGUGUGGGAUGGGCCCGCGGCCUAUCAGCUUGUUGGUGGGGUGAUGGCCUACCAAGGCGACGACGGGUAGCCGGCCUGAGAGGGUGUCCGGCCACACUGGGACUGAGAUACGGCCCAGACUCCUACGGGAGGCAGCAGUGGGGAAUAUUGCACAAUGGGCGCAAGCCUGAUGCAGCGACGCCGCGUGAGGGAUGACGGCCUUCGGGUUGUAAACCUCUUUCAGUAUCGACGAAGCGCAAGUGACGGUAGGUACAGAAG
RNAcentral lists this ribosomal RNA (445 nucleotides) under bacterium Ellin5229. Its description in RNAcentral is "bacterial SSU rRNA". It matches the Rfam family "Bacterial small subunit ribosomal RNA", at positions 28 to 487 of the family's 1533-position model. Lineage: Bacteria; Bacillati; Actinomycetota; Actinomycetes; Mycobacteriales; Mycobacteriaceae. The record is from RNAcentral.